GGGGCAGGAGACCGGAGGGAGUUGAGGUUUUGCACCCGAUAAGGAGACGCAUAAAGGGAACGGGUGGGGACACAGGGCCCCUGCAGCCUCAGGAGGAUCAGCAGUGGCCUGGUUUACUCGUGUCGUCAUUCGUCGUGGGCACCUUGUCCCCGGGGCCGGCCAGUUACUUGGCCUCCUGGCUCAUCAUCCUGCCGGAAGCAUCUCCAGCUUGGGGAUGUUGGAGGGUCCCUGGCCCCACCUGGCUGGGGAUGGAGUGUAAGCCGAGGAGAUGCCAUGUGAGGGUGCAGCGAGGAGUUGGGCUGUCUAAAAGCAAAGAAAGAGAUUGCAUCAGACACCGCAUCUGCUGACACCUUGUUCUUGGACUUCCAGCUUCCAAAACCGCGAGAAAUAAAUGUCUGUGUCUAAACCCCAACCCUACCACCUCAACUGCCGUGUGUGGUGUUUUGUGAUGGCAGCCCCAGCUGACUGAGACACCUGGUUAGACCGGAAUAAGCAGUACCUGAGUCCCUUAAGAGUGGCCAAAGAAGAAAGAAUCCACUGAGUUGACAUUCCAGUUCAGCUGCAAUCGGUAGCAGUCACCAUUGAACAUCCUUGAAGCAAUUCUUCCAAAAUUACCUUGCAUCAAAGACUGCACAAGAACUGCUCUAAGCGGAAGGACUGAUGUCGGCAACCAGGGUUCCACCAGGGGCUGCAGACAGCCCUUGACCUUCAGGUGGGAAGGUGUCACUGAGUUCAGACCCUCUGGCAAUCCCUAGCUAUCAACAUUUUGAUAAGAAAAUAAGUGGAAAGAAGUACAAAGAGUAUAUUCAAUUUGUUACAUAAAAGAAUACUCAAAGAAGACUGAAGCCACCUCCAGUUAGCAAGUUCUUUGCCAUUCAGAAGUAACCAAAUUUACUCACGUAGGCCAGGAAUUUCUAUGACGUGUUCCAAAUUCAGCCUCUCACUGAACACUUCCAGAGCAAGGCAACAUAAACAUCUGCAAGAAGAACAUUGUGUGAGAAAUAUCAAGUGAGAGUGGAAGAGUCUGCGGAGGGCCUCCCUGGGGCUCACCUGUGCUUUUGCCUGAGCUUCACCGUGUCAAGGAUGCAGCACUUUUUCCCUCUGGAGGAAGCAGCUUUCACCUUGGAAGAAUCUUGACCUUGCCAUUCAAAGUCACCAGACAGGGAAUCUGCCAGUGCCUUGAUCUUAGACUUCCCAGCUUCUGUAACUGUGAGCAAUAAAUGUAUGCUGCUUAUAAACUAUCCAGUCUCAUGCAUUUUGUUAUAGCAAUAUAAACAGAUGAAGACAGACAUAAACAUAUCUUUUUGAGAGAUGCAAUGCAACCCAUACCACCAGGAUUGCCACAUGUUUGCUGAUUUCACCUGGUAGCAAGGCUUAGCUAUCUUGGCUUGAAUGUAAUACCUCCAUCUUUUCUCUUGGUCAUCCUCUUUAAGCAGAGGACUUUUAUCUACCCAAGCAGAAUCCUGUGUUCUUGCUAUUCGAAGUGCAGCCCAGCCUCCUGCAGCCACCACAUCACUUGUGAUGCUUGACAGAAAUGCAGACUCUCUGUUCCCACCUCAAACCUACUGACUUGGGAAUCUGCAGCUUACCAAGAUCUCCAGGUGAUCCACGUACACGUCAAACUUUGAAAAGCAGUGGUUUG
RNAcentral lists this long non-coding RNA (1642 nucleotides) under Homo sapiens (human). RNAcentral describes it as "HSALNT0338197". The record is from RNAcentral. Lineage: Eukaryota; Metazoa; Chordata; Mammalia; Primates; Hominidae.